AACGAACGCUGGCGGCAUGCCUAACACAUGCAAGUCGAACGAGACCUUCGGAUCUAGUGGCGCACGGGUGCGUAACGCGUGGGAACCUGCCCUUAGGUUCGGAAUAACUCCCCGAAAGGGGUGCUAAUACCGGAUAAUGUCUUCGGACCAAAGAUUUAUCGCCUUUGGAUGGGCCCGCGUUGGAUUAGCUAGUUGGUAGGGUAAAAGCCUACCAAGGCGACGAUCCAUAGCUGGUCUGAGAGGAUGAUCAGCCACGCUGGGACUGAGACACGGCCCAGACUCCUACGGGAGGCAGCAGUGGGGAAUAUUGGACAAUGGGCGAAAGCCUGAUCCAGCAAUGCCGCGUGAGUGAUGAAGGCCUUAGGGUUGUAAAGCUCUUUUACCCGGGAUGAUAAUGACAGUACCGGGAGAAUAAGCUCCGGCUAACUCCGUG
Molecule: ribosomal RNA, 433 nt
Filed under: uncultured bacterium
Lineage: Bacteria
Description: partial 16S ribosomal RNA
Rfam family: Bacterial small subunit ribosomal RNA
Source: RNAcentral